This is a long non-coding RNA of Lutra lutra (Eurasian river otter), 1740 nucleotides long. RefSeq lists it as uncharacterized. The transcript is spliced from 3 exons. The record is from RefSeq and is a predicted model, not a curated record. Lineage: Eukaryota; Metazoa; Chordata; Mammalia; Carnivora; Mustelidae.
GUUACCUACAUGGGACACAGCAGGCCAGCCGUGAGGGAGAUAGGGCCCCUCGGGGAAGCUCAGAGAAGCUGGAUGGUCGUCCAAAGUGAGAAAACAGUGUAACAAGAGUUGUGAUGGUCAAAGUGAGAGCACCGGUCCCUCCUUGGGAGGGUCACGAGAGGCCUUCCAGAAGGACCCGUCCUUCACACAACCCUAAGGAAGGAGGAAAGAAAGGUGGGAUGCAACGGUUUUGAAGACUGACGAUGAAAAGUUCCUAUCCGAAGGAGCUUCUGGACAGUAGAGCUGAGAAAGAGUGUCUACCUGCAGCCACGUAUCUGGUUACAGGAUCUCCCCAGAGGAGGAACCUCAUAGAAAACAAACAAAACAAACAACUCCGGCUCAAAGUCACAGAAUGAGAAGAUGAGACAGCAAAGAAAAACUCUGUGAGAAGGACCUUACCAGGUACUGUUAACAACUAAACACAACAGUAAACUCAUGCCUCCAAGUCCAAAGACGUAUGCCACAGGAAACCACUGGGAGGCUGUCCUGAGACCUCAAACGGUGCCAUGUGAGGGAUGGUUCCAAAACAGACAAGGGCAGGAAGCUGCACCUUCCCUCCAAGACCACUGGGACCAGGCUGGUAACUGCAGGAAGUGCCACCUUCCCUCAAGACCCACCAGACAAGACCGCCAGAGCUACCCAGGGGGGUGCUUUAAUCUGCAUGUGCUUUUGCUCUUUUUCUCUCCUCUCUGUAAAGUUAAGGUUUAAACUGUUGACGCUUCUUAGCUAUCAACCAUGAUACCUCCAAGGUCUUUAUCUUUCAUACUGUUGUUUGGUUGUUCGUAUUUUACCUCAGUCCCUCCUCAGUUGGAGAGUCCAGGGCCAGGCUGCAAUUUGCUCACCAUUUGGCUACAACGUGCGAUUACACAGUAUGCUGGCUUUGUACUUACUUGCCUUUCGGGACCAUCCAGCUUUCUUUGCUGUCAGUGUCAUGGAAUUAAUCAAAUUACUUCCUAGGUGAUAAGACUCAACCGAGAAGUGAUCUGGGGAUUAAAAGUAGUUUAACAGGUCAAACAACCAGAAUUCUAGAACCUCCUGUCAUGUCAUACAUAGAAGGGAAUUUGGGGGUCCUAAACAAAAAACGCUCAGAAACCUUUUGUUUAGCUUUCCCUUUUUGUUAGCUUUUCCACGUAAACUUUCACAAAAGGAAAGCCAGUAGUGAUGGUAAAAUGAGGGACAAAGAAGUGUUUUGAGAAAAUGGGACCCAAUGAGAGGAAAAGAGACUGUAAGAGUUCACUGAGGGAAGAGGGCCCCCAAAGGGUACUCAAGCAAGGAAGCAACUGAGGUGAAUAUGCCUGUGGAGAGUCCACAGAGAAUACAGAAGGCAGUGGUAUGGAGUCUGCAGGCGAUCUAGAACGUGGGCAUCUGUAGAAUCCAGUGAGAAAGUGGAAACCAAAAGUACAGGGACGUAGGGGUCUGUUAUAGGUCUUCAGAAAGUCCGUGAGAGGCUGAAGGCAGAGAUUGAGCUAAGCCCCUCAGAGGAAUGGUGGGAGCCAUAGGGCCGUGAGGCAGCACAGCAUCUUCCACAGGCUCCCAAACAGCAGAAUGUCAGCUUCCAUGGCCGCUGUAUCACACAACUCACAGUGGGGAUCUUGAUAAAAGUGCUGCCACAAACUGCCUGUAACUGGGACCUUGUCCAAAUGGCUACAGAAGACAAAAGGAGUAAGCUAAGGUCAGUGAGCUGGGAUGGGGCCUGGCAGA